GAAGCGGAACGUUGCGAGUGUUUCCGAAUGGCAUUUUGCCAAUGGAUUAAAAUACAGUGAAGUUCAGAAAUUUAUUCGAAUUUCGUAUGUAAACAGUUCUUUGAACGAUAUGGAUUGAAAGCUACGAUACAUAUCGUUUAAGUUUUUUAAUUCUAUCAAAAUGUCACUUAGGUGCUAUUAUUAAAGAAUGUUUAUUUCUCAAGUUGGAGUAAGCUGUUUUGGAAUCUUUCGUGACAAUAUGAAAUAAAAUACAUAAAACUCAUGUUUGAGUGAACGCAUUAAUAUCGUGGGUUCACAUUCGAUUUGCCGGCAUUUCGAUCAACGAUGUUCGCAGUAUAGGUACUGUCAUGGACACAGAUGUAGAACUUGCCAAAGGUGAAGGGUGUGAAACUAGUCCAGGUUGUUCUGGCUAUUCUAGCAUGGUGCACAGUAAAAAAGUUAUCAAACAUGCAUUACGACAGCAGGCCAAGAGGCGUAGGAAAAAUACAACUAUUGCAGCUGGUAAUUCUCGUACUCUUCCAAGAAUUGUUGUUAAACCAUUACCUCCACCUCCACCAAAUGAUCCACCGUCUCCAGUCAAUAAUGUACAGCAUAUUAACACUACAACUGAAGAGCCUGCUGCCACAAUGAGGGAAGUUUUAGCAAGUUUGCCAGGAUUUAGUUUAAAACCUGGACGUAGACGAUCAACUAAAAGGUUGUCAGCAACUGCACAAUUAGAGGCUGGUCUUGUAGAUCUUGAGUCUCCAGCAAGUAUUCUAGCAAGUACAAGCUUACGUGCUCUUUUAAAUAGGCAUACUUUUCAAGGUUUACCACCUCUGUAUCAAAGAAAACUUGCACAGCUUUUACCAGCAGUAGAUAGACAGGAUGCUGCUAUAUCUGGACUGAAUAAUGAAUUCUUUGCAAGAGCUUGUUUAGAAUGGCGUAAGCGUUUAGCAGAGGGAGAGUUUACUCCAGAAAAUCAACAACGAUUGAAGAUGGAAGCUGAGAGAGAUAAGAAUAAGUUAGAUCCCUGGAAAGUGAAACAUUUUGAACCUAUAUGGGGUGAAAAACGUGAACCUAAAUUUCGAUCAGGUCUUCAUUGUAUUUUGGAAUCAAGAUCUGGAGGAGCGGUAACACGUUCAAGUUUAAGACUUCGUUUAGAAUCUAAUGUAGAUACACCUGUAUUGGAUGCUCCUUGCCCUGUUAUUAUAUCUGAAGAUAAAAUUGAAGAAGAUAACUGUAAAGUUGAAACAGGUAUAAAUAAUUCAGAUGAAUUGAAUGAUACAACAGGUAUACCAGAAUUGUUACCAGCACAUUAUAACGAAGCAACGCAUGCAUCAAUUGAUGAAAAGCAUAUAGAAUCUGUAAACAUAAGUUCUGUAGAAACAAUAGCAGACGCUGAAAUGCAUCAAGAUAAGUUAGAAGAAGAUGAUAAGGUUAUUAAUCUAACAGAAAAGCAAGAUACGAUCGAAGAAAAGGAAGCAGUAACACAAGUUUGCCAAGAAAAAGUUUCAAACACGUAUGACGACGAAAUUCAUUUACCUCAAAGUGAAAAGAGCCUUCAACCAAUGGAGAAUCACCUUCUUGAAGUAUCAGAAGAAGAUACGAUGCUUUUACCCGAAGAAACUACUUCGCCAAGAUCUAGUGAACAAAUGGAACAAAUAUCUCAUACAUCUAGAGAAACAUCGUCUCAAUUAUCGGUAGAAUGCACACCUCAGUCUUCGGUUGAUCAAGUACCUCAAAUAUCAAAAGAACAAAUAUCUCAAAUAUCGGAAGAACAAAUUUACCCUAUGUCCGACUGUGAAACCACAACUAUGCUCGAAACUUCACCACCGCACGAGCAAGUUAGGCCAACAGAAAUUGUGAUGGAAGAUUCUACCUUAAUCAAUAAUAAUCAAAGUGAAACAACUCAAAUUACUCACGAGAACCCAGCAGACGGUGAAUCACAAAUUCCCGAAGGAAUGGAGAUCGACAGUGAAACAUUACAACGUAUCCAUGAAUUGGAGGUAAGAGGAGAAAUGCGUGAAGCAUACGAAGAAAUUUCAGGAUGUCCCGAAGAAAUAAUGUACCCUAUACUUGAUGGAAUGGAAAUGGGAUCAAACAGUGCAGAAGAAACUGAAACACAAGUGGUUUCAGGACCGUCAGAAGCUCCUAGAGAUCAGCAAGAUGUAAAUAAUGGAAAUGAAGAUGAAGCUCUUAGAGAGGCUAAUAAUUAUGUUUGUUCUGAAAUGUUGGAAUGUAGUUGGCCAGUAGAUCCCACAGUUAAUAAUAUUAGUAAUAAUAACAGGACGCAAGAAGAACUUCAAGUUCCAUGGCCGUUAGUAGCAGCAGCUCUUGACGGAUCUGUAGCUGCUAACAUUACGGUAACUACUCAAGAUGAAUGCAAUGAUGCACCAACAUCAACCGACUCGACAAAUCCACCUCAACAGUUUAUCAAUGCGGAUUCUAACGUAGAAUCAAUGAAUUGUAUUCAGUUACCAGUUGUUCAAGGAACUCCAUUUCAGUCCGAAGGUCUUGCAAUUGGCACACCAGGCACGAGUUGUAUAAUGAAAAACUUUCAGUCUCAGAGUUCUCCUAUUAUUGCUUUUCCACAAUUGCAAUCGAUAAGAUUCGUGCAAACCAGUUUUCAUUCUGAUCAAAAUACUACCCCAACUUUGAACAGCACAUCUCCGAUUACGGCUCAGAUUCAAAAUCAACAGAACACGAGCUCGCAAGUGAAUAUAAUGAGAACGCAAGAGGAAAUCGUCCAAUUAAAUGCUCAAACUAAUAAUACACGGAAUAUUCGGAACAACGUAACACAGAAUCAAGUUUCGAACACCGUAACGGCGGCAAUUGGUGUACAACCUCAGAGUCGCGCACAAAAUACUAUCGUUAUUCAGCACCAAACGUCAGCUUCUACACAACCACGACAAGUUGUAGCAACUAUACAACAACAACAACAACAACAACAACAGUAUCCUGGAGCAACAGUCGCGGUGUCCUCGAGAUCUUCCCGCUCCAGUAAUCAAGGUAGUCAGAGAGGUUCUAGAAGUAGUAAUAAAGAACAAGGAGGAGGUAGAUCUCGUAGUAGUACAAAAGAACCACCUGGAGCUGUAAAUUUGGAGCGCAGCUAUCAAAUAUGUCAAGCGGUUAUACAAAGUUCACCAAAUAGAGAUCAAUUGAAAGCUCAUUUAAAACCUCCACCUAGUUUACUUGCCAGAGGUGAUGGCGCAUUCACUACUAAUAAAUCUGGUGGCCGUACAAUUACGACCGUCAAAACUCAAAAACCAUCACAAACAAUACAAAACAAACAAGCUCAAAAUAAAACACAGGCAGUUAUGCUGAGACAUGUGUUUGCAACAGCACGUCAAGCUACGUCAGCAGAGGUUCCAGAAAGCAAUACUGUAGCACAAUUAGGAUCCACGGCAACAAGCGGAUUAGGGCAAUAUAUACUUGUACAAAGGACAGGUGUUGGAGAUAGCGCGCCAAGAGCAUCCUCUGCUCCACCUCUACCUCCACAAAUAGCAGGGAUGGGUGUUGGAGUGCAUUUGGUACGUGGCAGACCAGCCAGCGCGGGAGAGGGUUCGCACCAAGCCGUAACAUUGAAAGCAAGGGGUACCGAUGGUAGAGGAGGAGGUGGUGCCGAACCUGGAGCUCCUGGUAUGAUAAUGGGUGGCGAUCCACCACCUCCAUGUGAAUGCAAUAUGCGAGGUGCUAUGGUAAUAUGUCGCCAAUGCGGCGCGUUUUGUCAUGAUGACUGUAUCGGGCCUCAACGUAUUUGUGCUACUUGUCUGAUACGUUAAUCAUUGUUUAAUGAUUGUUUCUGUAUAAAUUAGAAAAACCGUAUUAACCAGAGUGCUGAGUAUUAAAUUACGGAAACGUAGCAACAACAACUGGAAAUUUUUAUAUUUUCUUUGAAUUUUUAUUCAAACAUGUUGAACGAAUUUUAAGAUAGUUAAGAUUAUAUUUUCAGCUACCAGCCGAAUUUGUUGUUCAGCACUUUAGUAUAAGCGGUGAUUUACGUAAUUGAAAGAAUUAAUGGAUACAGUUGCAAUCAUUUCUAAAUUUUUUAAUCUUCAUUUUUGCUGUGAUUUUUCUUCAGUAUUAACUUACGUUUGCUUUUACAUAAAAAUGAUUUUAAGCUUCGUGAUAUAUUAUUGUAUUUGUUUUAUAAUGAUGGACAUUCUUUAAUCAGAUUUUUAUAGAAUUUAAUUUUGAGGAAAAUAAUCUUUUAAAAUAUUUUUAUGAAUGAUUUUUAAAAAAGAAGUAAUACUUUGAUCAUUUUUAAUAAUCGAAAUAUUACAACUGUAUUCUUGUAAUUCUUAUUGAAGAAAUAAAAAUAAAUUUUGCAGUCAGACUCUAAUACUGUCUUCCAGUAAACAUCACAUUCUUCAAUAUGCAACUUUACUAUUUAUUUAUUGACAGAAGUUUAAGUUUAUUCUUAUUAUAUAGAAUAGAUUCCUGUACAUGCUGAUCUCAAACUUAUUGCAAAUAUCAGGAAAUCAUUCUUACAUGCUCUCUCAUAAUAUUUUUUUCUUAAGUACAUCAUUUUUAAGCAUUAGAACAGAUUUUCCACAUUAUUAUGAUAGACCAUCUUGUACAGGAAUGUUGUUUGAGAUGAAUAUUGAUGAGUAAUAUUAUUUAUCUACGAUUAUUGCAAUCGAAAAAUCUGAUUAGAUACUAAAAUGUAAAAUUUAAAUAUUUUAGCUUUAUCUCUCACUUUGUUAUGAACAGUUUUCUAGAAUAGCAUUAGAUACGUUAUUUGCUUUGUGUUUGCGUGGAAAUUAAACAUCGUGAAUGAGGUAUAAAAACACAUAAAAGUAAUAUAAGUUUAACGGCUGGCAUUACAUUAAUUGUAUAUAAUUUGCAUUUCAGACAUUCAUUUUUUAAGUAUAUUUUUAUGAAAAAUAUCAUGAUUUUACAGACCCUCAAAGAUCGGGAUCCAUCAUGUAAUUUUAUUAUGCAAGCGUAGCUGAUACAUCAAUUACGAUUAUUACAUAUGUGCGUAUGAUACGUUAUGUCAUUAUCAUCAUCAUCAUCAUCAUCAUCGUCAUUUAUCUCGAUGGGGUAUACGUGAAAUCACGUUUACACGUAUUGAUAAAUUUUCAUAUUGAUAUGUUUCUUUGAAAUCAUUGAUAAGAAUACGCAGUAUUACUGCGAUUCGAUAGAAGAACUAUUGUGUAUUUAUCGCUCAAAUGUAAAUAAAAUCAUUCGUUUAAUGUGUAAAUUUGUUUGAUAUGCGCAGUGAAUGUGACGAAUGAAGUGCGAAUUUGAUGGUCGUGAGUGUUGCGAGAAUAAGCAACGUGCUGAAAAUAUAUAUGUACAUGUAUGUACGAAAAUAUUCUCUGUUUGAACAAACUAAAGUGUAGAAUUAACUAGACGACGCUUUAAUGAUAAUAAGAAAUCAGGAGCAUGCGUAAGAGUUGAGGCAAUAAAUUUGAAGAUUUAAGACUCUAAAUAAUUAAUAUCAACUUGAAAUUUUUCCUUUUAAUAAUUUUGACUUUUCUAUAAAUAAAGUGUUUUGAUGCUUGCCAUAAAAAAUAAAAAGAUAUGAUAAACUUUGGUUUGUAAAAAUUUCAAUGACUUGGAAUUUAAUAUAUAUAUUUGGUCAACUUCAUCAUAAAAACAAAGGUUUUAAUAAUUAUUAAUUGGCGUACAUAUAUAUUGCACAUAAAAAAUGAUAAAUUAAUAUAAUAAAUAAGUUCUUCAUUGUCAUCACAUAAAAUCCUCUUACCCUUGUAAUAUCAUACCAUUGUGACUCUGUUAUUAGGAGUUUUAGUUUAGUUUUAUUACAAUAAUAUUCUACAAAUAGAAUUUCACGUUUCCCUUUUUUCUGCAUAAAGUAUUGUAAUGCUUUGUAUUACAUAGUUUUCUUCAGAAAUCUGUCAUUGUACAUUGUUUUGAGGUACUAUAAAGUGUUAUUUUGAUUUUUGGCUGAAAACCAUUGAAAAUCUACCUGAGACUAAAAAAAUAAACUUUAUCCUUAACUGAAAUAAUCCACUCGUUCAUAGAGUUUAUCAAUGUACAUUCCAACAAAUUUUAUAGUUUUACUGUCAUGUAUACAAUUCGGUGCUAGCGUGUACCAGCAUUAAUCGUUAGUGCAAUUCGCAUUUUUCUUUUGUACUUUGAACCUUCACUGGUUAACGUUUGUACAUACAUUUUCUUUUGAAUAGCACUAAUCCGUGCAAACGAACAGCCACUUCAUUGUACUAAUUUCUCUAUAAACGUGACUGUAACAAGAGCCACUUUUUAAAUACAAUUUCCUUCAUAUCUCAAUUUGUUUUACCAUACAAUUAAUUUAUUUGAAAUUACAUUAGAUACGAAAGAAAACAAAGAAUUCCUGUUAGAAUUCGAUAACAACACUAAAUUAUAAAUAAGAUAUACAUCAAACAAUAAUAUUAUCACAAAAUUAAAUUUUACCACACGUUCGCAUGAAUCCCACAACAUAUAUAUAUAUACGUAUAUGUACAAUAUAAAGAAAUAUUAUUUUUUUCGUGAUUCCAUUGAAUUAAAUAAAUAAUUACAAUAAAUACUAGACAUACAAAAUAAUAAAUAAUAUCACAAAUAUUAUACAAAAGUUUAAAUUAACGAAUUUGAUUAGAACACGCUUAUAAUACAAUAAUUGUGCAUCCGACUUUGACCCUCUGUAUGAAAUAAAUACAUCUCUUAAAAUAAAUUAAUGUCAGGCGGACGCAAAAAGCGAUAAUUUCUUUUUCGGGGUUAUCAGAAUGUUUGAUUGAUUCUUUUACUGGUUAAAUAUAUGUGUGCUUAUGUAUGCGUACCUCUCAUCUCGAUUAGAUUAUUAGUAAAAGUUACAAAUAAAAGUAAAUAUGUCAAGAGCUGAAAAGAAUCAUUAAUAUGAAUAGAUGAAAAUGAAAUAAUGAUAGAACGCUAAUUUACCAUCGUGCAUUUGAAAUAUUCGCAUUAAUAGGAUAAUUUAUCGUAACUUGAUUUCGUCAUUGUUACGAGGAAACGAAUGUUCUGGCACAUACAUAUAGAUUAAUGUCUUAACAUGUUUACUUUUACUUUUACUUAUUGAUUCGCUUAUGAUAAAUUUCCUCAACUAAAGUUCACGUUAAAUGCGAUAUUACUUAGAUUUGGGGUUCACAACAAUGCGGGAGCAAAGGGAACAUAUAUGUAUGUACACAUUGGUAUUUGAGAAAAAUUAAUCAGAUUAAACAAGAAUUCUCAGUUUUUACGAACUGAGAAUGCACACAGCGCAUUGAUAAUAUAAUCGCUUCGUUUAAUUCACUUUUUAUUAUUACGAUAAUAUUAUUAGUAAUUAUUGAAUUGGGAAGCAAAAACAGUUCACCAUCAUUGAGGACCAAACGGAACAUUAGCCAUCAUAAUGAAACACUUAACUCUAACCAUAUCAUUUUUUAAAUUUGCAUGCAUUAACGAUCUACUUAAGUAUAAGCCUGAAUGUAAGUAGGUACGUAGACUAUAUUAGAUGCCACUGUGUGCCAAUUUCAUACUAGAUUCUCCUUUUAAAUUCCAUUUUCAUUUAAUUUUUCUUGCACACUAUACUUCCAACAUUUAUCAUCUUUAAAUUUCAAGUGAAAAGUUUUUUCUUUCUUCUAAAAAAUAAUAGAUUUCCCUUUAAAAUCAUCUGCUAUGUGUUUGAAAUAAUAAUAUAUAAUUCUCUGUCGCUAUUAAAUUUUAGAACCGAUACAUUUGGAUACAUAAUCGUAAUUCGUACGACUUGAUUCGCUCGUUGUUUCAGAGAUACUAACUAUUUAUAGAAGAUUAAUAGCAUACAGGGAACAAGAAGACACUGGUACAAGGAGAAUAGAUCUAAUCUACGUGCCUCACUUAUCGGCAUAACAGCAUUUUACCCAUUAUUAGAAUUAAAAACAAGAUGCCUCAUUUUUUUUUUUUUU
Osmia lignaria (orchard mason bee) is the source of this 7838-nucleotide RNA transcript. It is a transcript of the gene named transcriptional regulator additional sex combs, with no coding region annotated. The record is from RefSeq and is a predicted model, not a curated record. NCBI's taxonomy places the organism in Eukaryota, Metazoa, Arthropoda, Insecta, Hymenoptera, Megachilidae.